UACGUAGGGGGCAAGCGUUGUCCGGAUUUAUUGGGCGUAAAGAGCGUGUAGGCGGCCAGGUAGGUCGGCUGUGAAAACUCGAGGCUUAACCUCGAGCUGUCGGCGGAAACCAUCUGGCUAGAGUCCGGAAGAGGAGAAUGGAAUUCCCGGUGUAGCGGUGAAAUGCGCAGAUAUCGGGAAGAACACCCGUGGCGAAGGCGGUUCUCUGGGACGGUACUGACGCUGAGACGCGAAAGCGUGGGGAGCGAACAGG
RNAcentral lists this ribosomal RNA (253 nucleotides) under uncultured bacterium. RNAcentral's name for it is "partial 16S ribosomal RNA". It matches the Rfam family "Bacterial small subunit ribosomal RNA", at positions 524 to 776 of the family's 1533-position model. The record is from RNAcentral.